UACGUAGGGGGCAAGCGUUGUCCGGAAUUAUUGGGCGUAAAGCGCGCGCAGGCGGUUCAGUAAGUCUGGUGUAUAAACCCCAAGCUCAACUUGGGGUCGCAUUGGAAACUGCUGGACUGGAGUGUAGGAGAGGGAAGUGGAAUUCCACGUGUAGCGGUGAAAUGCGUAGAUAUGUGGAGGAACACCAGUGGCGAAGGCGACUUUCUGGCCUAUAACUGACGCUGAGGCGCGAAAGCGUGGGGAGCAAACAGG
This 252-nucleotide ribosomal RNA is filed under the name uncultured bacterium. RNAcentral describes it as "partial 16S ribosomal RNA". It matches the Rfam family "Bacterial small subunit ribosomal RNA", at positions 524 to 776 of the family's 1533-position model. The record is from RNAcentral.